This 526-nucleotide long non-coding RNA is filed under the name Monodelphis domestica (gray short-tailed opossum). Its description in RNAcentral is "lncRNA (ENSMODG00000046884.1)". The record is from RNAcentral. Lineage: Eukaryota; Metazoa; Chordata; Mammalia; Didelphimorphia; Didelphidae.
UCUCAGUUAAAACUCCACCCAGCUUUUUCUCUUCCUGAGUUAGCCCAACAUUCCAAGGCCUACCCUAGGCUAACCGAGUAGCAAUUACUGGUGAGUACAGAAGGAGAAGAAAUCCCCUCAGGGCAUUGGCUACUUCCUCUGCCCCACCCCCACUCCUCCUUUGGCUGGCCGGCAAGGGCAAAGAAGGAGAAGGAGAAGGAGAAGGGGGGUGGGGCAGAGGGUUCGCCUGAUGGGGGUGGGGGUGGGGGGGGGGGCUUCGCGCCCUUCCCUUCCCCCGCGCCUCCGCCCUUGAUUGUCGUGCGGCCACCGAUCGCCUGCUGGAGGACGAAGGGUCAGAGGGGGACGUAUUUUGGGCCCGGUCGGGGCCGCUUGACCCCCGCGCGGCGGACCCUCGUGGGUCCCGUUUGCUCCUCGGCGGCGCUGCGUCCUCGAGCGCCCGCGAUCUCGGCUUUUCCGUGUUGCCUCUCCGCCUCUUUCCCCGCGUGUGCCGGGGCGGGCUUUGCCUCCUGCCGCUCUCUUGGGCUCG